Bactrocera neohumeralis is the source of this 1038-nucleotide long non-coding RNA. RefSeq lists it as uncharacterized. NCBI's taxonomy places the organism in Eukaryota, Metazoa, Arthropoda, Insecta, Diptera, Tephritidae. The transcript has 7 exons. The record is from RefSeq and is a predicted model, not a curated record.
UUCUCUAUUUGGAAGAUUACGUGUCUCAUACAUUACGGAUAACAUUGUGUGGCACUCUGAAGCAAUGGAAAUUUUAAAGAUCUUAUGGAGCUUUACCAAUGUUCCGGCUCUACAAUAUUCUAUCAAUUUAGAUUUUGGAGUUUAAAUUUAUGUGUAAAAGAUGCCUAAAGAACCUGCCCCGUAUCGUUGUAAUAUAUGAAACGUUAAUGUAUCUAGUUAUGAUGAUUUUUUACAAGAACGUCUGAAUAUUAGUGGGAAAAUAUGUAAAUAUACAACCUUUGCAGACAAAAUGGGACAUCUGAAAAUUAUUGGAUGAUUUAUCAAUACGAAAAAAACUGAUUAUACAAUGUUCCGGCUCUACAAUAUUCUAUCAAUUUAGACUUUUUACUUACAGAUUUUGGAGUUUAAAUUUAUGUGUAAAAGAUGCCUAAAGAACCUGCACCGUACCGUUGUAAUAUAUGAAGCGUUAAUGUAUCUAAUUAUGAAAAUAUUUUCAAGAACGUCUGAAUAUUAGUGGGAAAAUAUGUAAAUAUACAACCUUUGCAGACAAAAUGAUUAAAGUCGUUGGUAUUGCAUGAUUAACCAAUCGUCAAGAUCUAACAAGGUUUGCUGAUUUCCAUACCUGCAUAUGACGCAGUGUACGUCAUAGAGAGACUGGAUAAAAUAGUCCAAUUCUGAGUAAUCGGAGGCGUCAAAGUCUGAUGGCAAGAUUUGUGAUGACUGAAUAUGAGAUGAGCACGGAGUAGUUACAAAAAGUGGAAAACCUUCAACAUAUACAUAUUAUAAAGCUUUAUUUGAACUUUGAAGGAUGAAAUCGCAGCAAAAUACCUCGAAAGUCAAAUACAUUAAAAGAAUAUGUACGGCAACUAAGGAACUUUGCAGCUCAUUAGCCCUAUGCGAGAGAAAGCUAUAUUUCAUGUCUAUUCGAUCAUAAGAAAUAUCUUUGUAAUUAAUGUAUGAUUUCAACAUUGUUUACUAGCAGGGAAUAGACCUGAAAAAACCGUUGACCGAUGAAUAAAAUUUUGAUUUUUUUAAUAA